RNAcentral lists this long non-coding RNA (850 nucleotides) under Elaeis guineensis (African oil palm). RNAcentral's name for it is "long non-coding RNA (EGUI_LNC017307)". Lineage: Eukaryota; Viridiplantae; Streptophyta; Magnoliopsida; Arecales; Arecaceae. The record is from RNAcentral.
AUAGUCAGACUAAAGAUCACCAGAGAUCUUGAUGUGAAACACUUACGGGUGUUCACCAACUUGCAACUCAUCGCCUGAUAGUCUGAAGGAGAAUAUAUGGCCCGAGAUCCUAUUCUCUCUAAAUAUCUACAAAAGCUCAAGUCUCUACAAUCACACUUUAACUAUUUUGAGAUAUUCCAUAUCCCUUGUUGGUGCAAAAAUCCACCUGCGUCGGAGAAGCUAGAGUCGAGGGAGUCGCGGUCGCCGUCGGGACCUGCAAAGGAAGUCUAAAUCGGAGUUGGGGUUGCUCCGGCAAGACCCUCCGAUGCUCAAGUCAGUUCUCUGCCUCAACAAGAAUAGAGUGCUCGAACGAAAAUUUUAGCAGAGUUUCUAGGAUAGAAAUUAGAGCUUAGAGAAUAACGUAUCUGGGAUCCCCCCUUUUUAUAGGCGGAGGGGGCAACAGACCGAUAGCGAUGUUUGUAACCGUCUGGCAGUGGACCGUUCGGAGCCAGGAGGAGUUUGUUAUGAAAAGUAGUAGAGUAAAAUCAUGGCCAUCACCGUGACCUGACACGUGGAGUCUGAAGCGGCAUCCAUUGUCAUGACUUGCCAAAGGGUGGAGGAGCCGCACGGUAUCCAUCGCAGAAAGUGGAGCAGAGUUGUGGCCAUUACUGUGGCCUGCCAGGGAGUGAUGGAGCCGCACGAAAUCUGUCACAGGAAGUGGAGCAAAGUCGUGGCCGUUACUGUGGCCUGCCAGGGAGUGAUGGAGCCACGCAGAAUCCACCACAGGAAGUGGAGCAGAGUCGUGACCGUUACUGUGGCCUGUCAGGGGGUCCUGGCCUGUCGAUUGAAGUUUGGUUGGGGUGCCUGGCGG